This 7488-nucleotide long non-coding RNA is filed under the name Lactuca sativa (garden lettuce). RNAcentral's name for it is "long non-coding RNA (LSAT_LNC002574)". The record is from RNAcentral. Lineage: Eukaryota; Viridiplantae; Streptophyta; Magnoliopsida; Asterales; Asteraceae.
CGACGGGUCAUAACUUCUUCGUUAUAACUCGGAUUUCGGCGUUCCUUAUAUGCACGGAAACCUUGAGACAUAUUCUACAACUUUAUGUAGAGAUAUCGGGAUUAUCUCACACUUUAAUUUUGACGCUCAUUUUUAUUCUUUAUUAAUUAUACAUUUAUAAUUAAAUAAUAAACACAUAUAAUUCACAUAAUACUCAAAUAUUUCAUCUUUAUUACUUCAAAAAGAGUUACAAGAGUUGACCUAGACUAUUACAUUGACAAAAAUGCUUAGCCCUGAAACCCGGGCGUUACAAUUCUCUCCCCCUUAGGAUGAUUCCGUCCCGGAAUCAUGCAUCAGCAAACAGAUGUGGAUAGCGACUCAUCAUGUCAUCCUCUGUUUCCCAAGUGAGAUUCGGCCCAUUCGAAUGUUUCCAUCGGACUAGCACCAAGUCGACCAUCUUGCGUCGUAACUUCUUAGUCUUACGGUCAACAAUUGCCUCAGGCUCUUCGAUCAACCUUUUAUUUUCAUCCAUCCUUAACUCUGAGAUUGGAAUUAUGUCGGGAACAUCUCCCGUGAAUUUCCUCAAAUAACACACAUGGAAGGUGUUAUGAAUACCAUUGAGUUCUUCGGGCAAUUCCAGCUUGUAAGCUUGGUUCCCUAUCUUCUGAAGAACUUUGAACGGUCCAAUAAACCUUGGACUCAACUUUCCUCGUUUCCCAAAUCGUAUAAGUCCCUUCCACGGUGAGACUUUAAGCAAAACGGAAUCCCCAACUUCGAAAGUUAUCGGUCGUCUUUUCUUGUCAGCAUAGCUCUUCUGACGAUCCUGGGCUGCUAACAUCCUUUCCCUAAUCACCUUCAACUUCUCAGCAGUCUCAUGGACUAUCUCGGGGCCCAUAAACUGCUUCUCUCCGGCUUCAAGCCAACAAGACGGCGUACGACACUUCUGCCCAUACAAGGCUUGAUAAGGAGCCAUCUUGAUGCUCGAGUGAAAACUAUUGUUGUAGGAAAAUUCUACCAGAGGUAAGUGCUCGUCCCAAUUCCCUUGGAAUUCGAGGGUACAUGCUCUCAGCAUAUCUUCCAGCGUCUGAAUCGUUCUUUCGCUCUGACCAUCAGUUUGCGGAUGAUAAGCAGUACUCAAACACAACUUUGUACCUAACUCCUCUUGUAGACUCCUCCAAAACCUUGACGUGAAACGACUAUCACGAUCUGAUACAAUCGUAAGAGGGACACCGUGAAGUCUUACAAUUUCCUUCACGUAAGCAUUUGCGAGCUUAUCCAUAGACCACUUCUCGUUGGCUGCUAUGAAGUGUGCACUCUUGGUGAAACGAUCCACGACUACCCAAAUCAUGUCGUGACCGUUCUUCGUCCUGGGCAGUUUAGUCACAAAAUCCAUGGUGAUGUCUUCCCAUUUACCCAUGGGUACAGGUAAAGGUUCUAAACUCCCAUACGGUUUCUGAUGUUGUGCCUUAACCCUCGCACAUGUUACGCACUCGGCCACAUACUUCGCAACAUCGAGCUUCAUCGUCGGCCACCAGUAGUAGGGUUUUAGGUCCCUAUACAUUUUAGUGCUACCGGGAUGAAUCGAGUACAUGGUCUUGUGUGCUUCUUCCAUCAGAAGAUCUCUUAUUCCUCCCGUCUUAGGUACCCAAAUUCGAUCUUGGAAUACCUUCAGUCCUCGACUGUUUGUACCAAACACUAACGUUCUUCCCAAACGUUCUUCCUUUCGGUCAUUUUUCUCUAAAGCUUCUUCUUGAGCUUUCCUGAUACUUUCCACAAUCGUCGAGACGACUUCAAUUCUUAACGCUCUUGGCCUUUUCCUUUCCAGAUUGACUUUCCGACUGAGAGCAUCAGCAACAAUAUUUGCUUUACCUGGGUGGUAAAGUAUCUCACAGUCGUAGUCCUUGAGAAGUUCUAGCCAGCGUCGUUGCCUCAUGUUCAACUCCUUCUGAUUAAAGAGAUACUGGAGACUCUUAUGAUCAGUGAAGAGCUUGCACUUCGUGCCGUAGAGGUAAUGCCUCCAUAUCUUUAAGGCAAAAACUACCGCUGCCAACUCCAGAUCAUGAGUGGGGUAGUUCUUUUCGUGCUCUUUCAAUUGUCGAGAUGCGUAUGCUAUCACCUUUUCUCUUUGGGUCAGAACACAACCCAACCCGACUCCAGAAGCGUCACUAUAAACCGCGAAAUCUUCGACUCCAUCGGGUAGAGAAAGUAUCGGUGCUUCACAUAACUUCUUCUUUAGCUUCUCGAAUGCCUCAUCGUGUUUCUCACUCCACGUAUACGUAGCUCCUUUAUGAGUCAAAGCUGUUAAUGGAGCAGCUAUCGAAGAAAAGCCUUGGAUAAAUCGUCGAUAAUAUCCGGCUAAUCCUAGAAAGCUUCGAAUCUCCGUGGGACUCUUUGGACGUUCCCACUUCAUUACAGCCUCGAUCUUUGCGGGGUCAACCAUUAUUCCCUCCUGGUUAACAACAUGACCCAAGAAUUGGACUUCCCGUAUCCAAAAGUCGCAUUUGGAGAACUUUGCAAAAAGCUUCUCCUUCUUCAACACUUCUAAUACUUCCCGUAGAUGCUUGCCAUGCUCCUCUUGGCUUUUCGAGUAGAUGAGAAUGUCGUCGAUGAACACUAUCACGGAUUUAUCGAGGAAUGGUUUACAAACCCUAUUCAUCAAAUCCAUGAAUGCUGCGGGAGCAUUGGUUAGCCCGAAUGACAUAACCAAGAACUCGUAGUGUCCAUAUCUCGUUCUGAAUGCAGUCUUCUCAAUAUCCUGCUUUCUCACCUUUAGCUGAUGAUAUCCUGACCUAAGAUCGAUCUUUGAGAAGUAGCUCGAACCUUGCAGCUGAUCGAAUAGGUCAUCAAUCCUCGGCAAUGGAUACUUGUUCUUCACCGUUGCCUUAUUCAGCUCUCGGUAGUCUAUACACAUUCUCAUACUUCCGUCCUUCUUCUUCACGAAUAACACCGGAGCUCCCCAGGGUGAUGAACUAGGUCGAAUAAAACCGUUGUCCAACAGCUCCUGAAGUUGCGUCAUGAGCUCCUUCAUCUCCGUCGGUGCUAAUCGGUAAGGUGCCUUUGCUAUCGGUGUUGUUCCUGGUAACAAGUCUAUACGAAACUCCACUUGCCUAUCAGGUGGUAAUCCGGGAAGAUCUUCGGGAAAGACUUCCGGAUAAUCACACACAACCGGUAUAUUCUGCACCUCUUUCUUCUCCUUCUUGGCAUCGAUUACGAAUGCCAAGUAUGAUGCACAUCCUUUGGACAAACAUUUCCUGGCUUUCAUCAGGGAGAUGAUUCCAGAAUUCACUCUGCGUUUGUCCCCAUACACCAUAAAUGAUUCUUUUCCGGGUGGGUUUACCUUUACUAUCUUCUUUCGGCAUUGAAUCUCAGCAUCGUUGGCGCUAAGCCAAUCCAUACCCAAAACGAUGUCGAAACCGUUUAACUCUAUGGGUAAUAGCUCUUCGUGGAAUUCGUUUCCGUUUAGGUCAAUGACGAUGUUCCUAAUACGAUUACUAACAGGUACGAAUUUGCCACUGGCAACUUCUACAAUCAGGGCAUUAUCUAGUUUUUCUACAGGCAAUGCUAAUUUCCCACCAAAUUUAUGCGACACAAAGGAGUAGUUGGCUCCGGAAUCAAAUAGUAUAUUUGCAGGCAAACCAUUUACAAGAAAGGUACCUGAAGCGACGUCUGCUGCCUCCUUUGCAGCCUCGAGCGUCAUCUGGAAGGCUCUCGCCUUCGGCUUCGGUGGUAUGUUGGGUCUUCCUGUCUCCUUCUUCUUCGGGCAGUCCUUCAAAAUGUGCCCUUCUUCAUUGCACCCAUAACAGGCUUUCUGGUUGAGGGUGCAUUCAUUGGCGUAGUGCCCAGGCUUUCCGCACUUGUAACAAGUGACCCCUCCGUCACACUUCCCAGAGUGCUUCUUCUUGCACUUGUCACACCACUUCGCUUCUGAUCCUCCUCCCCUCGAACCAGACUUCGAGAAUCUACUCUUCUUGUUGGACUUCGAGGAUCCAUUGAACUUCCGUUUCUCACCAACCUCAGCCCUCUCCAGACCUCUUUCCUUUUGUUGGGUCUCCACGUUCUUAGCUGCUCGAACAGCUGAUUUCAGAGUGGUUGCCAUCUUGACUGUUGGGCCAAAGUCAGCCGGCAGUCCGUUUGCGAAUUUCUCAAUUUUGGAAAGUUCGGUUGGCACUAGGUAUGGAAACAACUUCAUCUUUUCCGUAAAUGCAGCAGCAUAGUCAUCGAUGCUCAUUCUCCCCUUCUUCAAAUUUUGGAACUCAUUGUUCAGAUCAAUCAGGUCUAUCUCUGAACAGUACUGCGCCUUCAGUUGUUCCAAGAACUCAUCCCAUGACAUUUUCAGAGCUUCUCCCCGUGGCAUUGUAUCUGCCAAUAGCUUCCACCAGCUCAAGACUCCAGUUUUCAAUUGUCUCACAGCGAAGACAGUCUUCUGCUUCUCGCUGCAGUCGCAGCUCUCAAACACCAUCUCCAUCUCGGAGAUCCAGUCCAUAAUCUCAACAGGCUUUGGGCUUCCUGAGAGACUUGGUGGUUUCGCACCCAAGAAAUUUUUGUACAUCCGCCCAUCCUUGUUGUUUCUCCCUUCUGGGCCAUCCUUUUGCUCACCUUGAGUCCCUACUUGACUCACUUGGCGGCUAUAGUUCCCUUCCUCAGAUGGCUCGGGAACUGGCUCCGUCGGUUCAACAUGUAUGGUAGGUUCGUCCCUAUUUUCGUGGAGCAUCCGUCUCAUUUCUUCCCUUUGUUCAGCUAGCAUAGCCUGAAUCAUGGCUUGAACUCCAGCCAUGGUGACUGGCUCAGGUGCAACUUCUUCAACAACAGGUAUUUGCUGAACCACUGGGGGUUGGUUCCUACCUCCAUUUGCGUUCACGUUUCCGCUACGGGUCCUUGCCAUCUUGAUCUAUACACCGAAUAAGGUGAAUUUAGAUCUUUAUUUAGGAUAGACGUUUUAAAUCGUCCUUAUCACUCCGAAACGUUUACAUGCUAGUUCUAAUAUCGUAGUCGUACGUUUAGAAUCCUAAACACAUAAGGUUUCCAGAUCCGGUCGGCAACAGACCAUAGAUCCGAACAAUUAACAGCAUAUUAUGCACAAAGCAUUUAGCACAUAAAAGCAUUUUAGGCACAAUUCCUAAAAUAAGCUAGUGCUCACACCUCACAAUCAUCGCUUAGCAUUCUAAGUUUAAGUCUAGAAAUCCUACAAAUUCCUAGUUCGCUUAAACUAAUGCUCUGAUACCAACUGUGACAUCCCCAAAAUCACGGCCAGAAAAGACCGGUUUGUUUAUGCUUUGUUUAAAAAUCAGAGUUACAUUUUAAAUGAAAGUGUUGCGGAAUUUGUCCCAAAACAAAAAUAUGAUAAAGAUUUAUCAAAAGCAUUUCCAUAGAAAUGUAUUUCAUUAAAAGACUCGGGAUGUCAUGUUCGUACAGAUCAAAAGCAUAAACAGUACAAUAUAAGCCUUACUACAUUAUUUCAUAUCUACAGGCCUAUAUCCGUAAUCCCUCGUCCAAAACAUCACACCUAUGCUCAUGCGCCACUACCUGUAAUACAUAAAACUGAGUGGGUCAGGCUUGGGAGCCUGGUGAGCACAUAGGGUUUUCAACCCACAAUAAAUAAGUUUAUUAAUUUCAUCAAUCAACAAUAACCCGAUUACCCGUUCCCGUUAUCCUCACUUUACGUCCCUAAACACCUAUCAUAAGGGACCUAGCCUAAGGAUCAUCAUCGGGACGGACACUACUGCUAAGGGGAUUCCUCAGCAAUAAAUGUCCUAAAGGCAACCAUGUGGGGGAUGGAGUACACCGGUGAACACAUCGUUCACAAACACCUACAGGUUGCGAGCCUGCUAGUGUUCCACUGGACUGUCUAGAAGAGUCCGUGGUCGUCAUCCAUACUCCGCUAGAUGACAGAAACAACAACAUCAACAUCGAGGCCUCUCAUCAUUUUAUCACACAUCACCUAUUACAUCUACCCAUGUUUUACCCCAACAUUUUCGUAGAUAUAAAAUACAUAUACAGUUUAAAUCAUUGAAAACAUGUAUAACAACGUUCAUCCAGCAUAGAUAGCAAGUAAUCAGAUAAUAUGCACACAUAGCACGUAAUUUAUAAAAUACUUCAUAUCUAUGUGUAAGCUGAAAGUAACUAUGCACUCACCUGAAAGGUGGUGACUCAGCACUCGGACAGCGCUUCGAUACUCUCAAAACGAUAUUCCUUCGAUAAAACCUAGUACCAACACCACUAGGGUUUAGUCUAACGAUAACCGCGAUUAAUUAAUAGUCUAGCUAUUAUUAUUAUUAUAUAAGCGUUAAACGAUACUUAUAUAACCCAUAAUAAUAGCCCAAGUACUUAUUAUAAGGUCCUAAUAACAUUACUAUAUUAAAACGUAAGCUAAACUAAAGAUAGGUUAGGCGUAGCUCACUUACAGCGAGUUUUCUCGAAAACCGGGCUUCGCUGGAGCAGCGUUCCCGAGCCGAAAGGCUCUUUUCUCGGGACUCCGGGAGCCUCGGGGCUUCCUUCGGGUGCUAGGGGGUUUACCUAGGCUUUAGGGGGCUUAAGGAGGCUUAGAGAGAGAGUGUAGAGAGAGAAAGAAGUGGGGAAAGGUGUGAGAAAUGAGAGAACCCGGCACUUCUAUUUAUAGGGUGAAAUCCUGACGGACUCGCCGAGUCGGUUCACUGACUCGCCGAGUCAGUGCCACGUGUCAUCAUCUGAUGGCUUUCCUUGGGGAGAAAGCCUUGGCCCAUAUUCAGCCACGUCACCCCUUUUGCAGCAGCACUCUGCCAACUUCUAAACCCCGUAACUUUCGCAUACGAGCUCCGUUUUCGACGUUCUUUUUUUCCACGCGUAGGUAAAAACAAGAUCUACAACUUUCAUUUAGACUCCGUCGGCUAAUUCUCGACCGAUCUCAAAUUUAACAGUAAGAGGCGUUUAGACUGUUAAAUGACCGCGAAGAAUUCAUAACUCCUUCAUACGAACUCCGUUUUCGUCCAUCUUUUUACCGUUGAGUUCCUAUUAAUGAGAUCUUCAACUCUCAUUUAGGUCGCGUAAGCCAAAAACCGCUCGAACAAAAAUUCGAGUUUCGGGCCGUGCACUGCUAAGCCGAAUCUUAGAAAAAUCAUAACUUCCUCAUACGAAGUCAGAUUUGGGCGUUCUUUUUAUCGACGUUCUUAGUUUAACAUAUUCUACAACUUUCGUUUAGGUUGAUAAGGCUAAAUCUCACUCUAUCGUAAAUUCACUAUUUACGCUUCCUGGUGUCGUGCCGGUUUUGCCGUAAAACUUCGACGGGCCAUAACUUCUUCGUUAUAACUCGGAUUUCGGCGUUCUUUAUAUGUACAGAAACCUUGAGACAUAUUCUACAACUUUAUGUAGAGACAUCGGGCUUAUCUCAUACUUUAAUUUUGACGCUUAUUUUUAUUCUUUAUUAAUUAUACACUUAUAAUUAAAUAAUAAACACAUAAACACACAUAAUUCACAUAAUACUCAAAUAUUUCAUCUUUAUUUCUUCAAAAAGAGUUACAAGAGUUGACCUAGACU